RNAcentral lists this ribosomal RNA (301 nucleotides) under uncultured bacterium. RNAcentral describes it as "partial 16S ribosomal RNA". It matches the Rfam family "Bacterial small subunit ribosomal RNA", at positions 509 to 807 of the family's 1533-position model. The record is from RNAcentral.
CAGUCGCCGCGGGAAUACGUAGGUGGCAAGCGUUGUCCGGAAUUAUUGGGCGUAAAGGGCUCGCAGGCGGUUUCUUAAGUCUGAUGUGAAAGCCCCCGGCUCAACCGGGGAGGGUCAUUGGAAACUAGGAAACUUGAGUGCAGAAGAGGAGAGUGGAAUUCCACGUGUAGCGGUGAAAUGCGUAGAGAUGUGGAGGAACACCAGUGGCGAAGGCGACUCUCUGGUCUGUAACUGACGCUGAGGAGCGAAAGCGUGGGGAGCGAACAGGAUUAGAGACCCGCGUAGUCCCUGUCUCUUAUAC